AGCGAGAAGACGGGACAA
RNAcentral lists this unclassified non-coding RNA (18 nucleotides) under Mus musculus (house mouse). RNAcentral describes it as "oocyte_clustered_small_RNA3745". Lineage: Eukaryota; Metazoa; Chordata; Mammalia; Rodentia; Muridae. The record is from RNAcentral.